AUGAAAGAAAUGUACUCUGCAUCUUCAGCGGAGCGAGCGGAGGACACGGAGCGGCAUCUCAAUCAACCAACCUGGACGGGGACGGGGGCGGAUCGGCGGGUGGCUCAAUCAGCCGCGGCAGCGCGUGAUGGCGGAGCAGCCGCGGGAGUAGGGGUUGGCCUGGCCGCCGGGGCGGCAGUUGUAGUAGGAGGAGCCGCGCACGGAGCAGGGCACGUUGUCCCGCCGCAGCGCGCCGUAGCUGAUGUAGCCGUUGCCGCUCUGCAGCACGCGCCGCGCCACCGCGUCGCCGCCGGUGAGGCCGUACCCGUCGUCGGCGACGUCCUCCACGCCCAGCUCCCAGCUCAGCGGCACCUCCCCGGCCCCGGCCUCGGCGCCGCGGGCGAGCAGGAGGGAAGCGGCGGCGAGGAGGAGGAGCGCCGCGAGGGCGGGGGCCUUGGCUGCCAUGGCGAGGAAGGGGAAAGCGGAGUGGGGAUGGGGAAUGCUCUGCUUUCUUGGGUGCGGGCGUGGGGUUUGGUGCUUGUGCCUGGCCUCUGCCACCGGCAAAUGGGUUUAUACUAG
This 558-nucleotide ribosomal RNA is filed under the name Triticum aestivum (bread wheat). Its description in RNAcentral is "partial small subunit ribosomal RNA". Lineage: Eukaryota; Viridiplantae; Streptophyta; Magnoliopsida; Poales; Poaceae. The record is from RNAcentral.